UGACUAAGCCCAUGCAUGUGUAAGUAUAAACUUUUAUACGGUGAAACUGCGAAUGGCUCAUUAUAUCAGUUAUAAUUUAUUUGAUAUUGUCUGCUACUUGGAUAACUGUAGUAAUUCUAGAGCUAAUACAUGCGUCAAUGCCUGAUUUCGAGAGGGCUGUAUUUAUUAGAUUCAAAACCAAUGCGUGGCAACACGGCUUGUGGUGAUUCAUAAUAACUUUUCUGAUCGAAUGGCCCUGGAGCCGUCGAUGUUUCAUUCAAAUUUCUGCCCUAUCAUACUUGUUGGUAAGAUAUAGGCUUACCAAGGUUAUAACGGGUAACGGAGAAUUAGGGUUCGAUUCCGGAGAGGGAGCCUGAGAAAUGGCUACCACAUCUAAGGAAGGCAGCAGGCGCGCAAAUUACCCAAUCCCGACACGGGGAGGUAGUGACAAGAAAUAUUCAAUGUCGGGCGUUUGUCUGAUAAUUGGAAUGAGAACAAUUUAAAACUCUUAUCGAGUAUCAAUUGGAGGGCAAGUCUGGUGCCAGCAGCCGCGGUAAUUCCAGCUCCAAUAGCGUAUAUUAAAGUUGUUGCAGUUAAAAAGCUCGUAGUUGAAGUUUGAGGCCCUUUCCAGGGUGUGCUCUCUGAGUGUGCUCUGGAGUUUAAAGACCCAUGGUCCGGCGGAAACGCUGUGCACUGUGUGGCGGGGCCUUUUUUGUUCCGCAGGCCGGGGCUUUCCGUUGAGGAGGGUCCUGUUAUGGAAUGCGGACCGUUUACUUUGAAUAAAUUAGAGUGUUCAAAGCGGGCUAUUGUUGCUUGAAUACGUUAGCAUGGAAUAAUGGAAUAGGACUUUGGUCUUAUUUUAUUGGUUUCUAGGACUGAAGUAAUGAUUAAUAGGGGUAGUUGGGGCCAUUGAUAUUUAGUUGUCAGAGGUGAAAUUCUUGGAUUUACGAAAGAUCAACUUCUGCGAAAGCAUUUGGCAAGGAUAUCUUCAUUAAUCAAGAACGAAAGUUAAGGGAUCGAAGAUGAUUAGAUACCGUCGUAGUCUUAACAGUAAACGAUGCCGUCCAGCGAUUUCGCCUUUUGUUAUUUAAGCAGCUUGAGAGAAAUCAGAGAUUUUGGGUUCCGGGGGGAGUAUGGUCGCAAGGCUGAAACUUAAAGGAAUUGACGGAAGGGCACCACCAGGGGUGGAGCCUGCGGCUUAAUUUGACUCAACACGGGGAAACUUACCAGGUCCGGACAUUAGAAGGAUUGACAGAUUGAUAGCUCUUUCUUGAUUUGAUGGUUAGUGGUGCAUGGCCGUUCUUAGUUGGUGGUGUGAACUGUCUGCUUAAUUGCGAUAACGAACGAGACCUUUGUCUGCUAAAUAGUUACGGCUUAGUGAUAAGCUGGCUAACUUCUUAGAGAGACCAUCGGGGUUUACCCGGGGGAAGCGAGAGGCAAUAACAGGUCUGUGAUGCCCUUAGAUGUUCUGGGCUGCACGCGCGCUACAUUGAAACUGUCAGAAAGUAUACUUGCUGCGAUGAGCAGCGACUCUGGACCGAGAGGUUUGGAUAAUCUUUGAAACGGUUUCGUAAUGGGGCUAGAUUUUUGCAAUUAUUAAUCUUCAACGAGGAAUCCCUAGUAAGCGCAAGUCAUCAGCUUGCGUUGAUUAUGUCCCUGCCCUUUGUACACACCGCCCGUCGCUCCUACCGAUUGAAAGUUCCGGUGAGACUUUGGGAGUCCUGGUCGGGGAGCAAUCUCUGGCCUAGUCCUGGAGCAAACUUAUUCAAAUCUUAACUUUUAGAGGAAGGAGAAGUCGUAACAAGGUUUCCGUAGGUGAACCUGCGGAAGGAUCAUUA
RNAcentral lists this ribosomal RNA (1817 nucleotides) under Striomonas longa. RNAcentral describes it as "SSU rRNA". It matches the Rfam family "Eukaryotic small subunit ribosomal RNA". Lineage: Eukaryota; Ancyromonadida; Ancyromonadidae. The record is from RNAcentral.